This 523-nucleotide ribosomal RNA is filed under the name uncultured bacterium. RNAcentral's name for it is "bacterial SSU rRNA". It matches the Rfam family "Bacterial small subunit ribosomal RNA", at positions 30 to 507 of the family's 1533-position model. The record is from RNAcentral.
UUGAACGCUGGCGGCAUGCUUUACACAUGCAAGUCGAACGGCAGCACAGCAGAGGUAACUCUGUGGGUGGCGAGUGGCGAACGGGUAAGUAAUACAUCGGAACGUACCCUGUUGUGGGGGAUAACUACGCGAAAGCGUAGCUAAUACCGCAUACGCCCUGAGGGGGGAAAGCGGGGGGACCCUAAAUAGAGCGCACUGGGGAGUGCGUUGUAUUUAGGGCCUCGCGCAAUAGGAGCGGCCGAUGUCGGAUUAGCUAGUUGGUGAGGUAACGGCUUACCAAGGCGACGAUCUGUAGCGGGUCUGAGAGGAUGAUCCGCCACACUGGAACUGAGACACGGUCCAGACUCCUACGGGAGGCAGCAGUGGGGAAUUUUGGACAAUGGGCGCAAGCCUGAUCCAGCCAUGCCGCGUGAGUGAAGAAGGCCUUCGGGUUGUAAAGCUCUUUCGGCCGGGAAGAAAUCGCAUGGGUUAAUACCCUGUGUGGAUGACGGUACCGGAAUAAGAAGCACCGGCUAACUACGUG